This 454-nucleotide ribosomal RNA is filed under the name Astropecten sp. 5 DEZ-2009. RNAcentral's name for it is "partial 12S ribosomal RNA". Lineage: Eukaryota; Metazoa; Echinodermata; Asteroidea; Paxillosida; Astropectinidae. The record is from RNAcentral.
UCUUAGCAACCGAUUUGGUCCUAGUCCUUUUUUUGGCUCCCUCUAAAACGAUACAUGCAAGCUACUCAGCAACACAGUGAGUAAUACUUUAGUUGUCCUAAAAAGAGACAACCCAAUAACCCAAAGGUAUCAGAUAAUACACUUAAUUCUAAAACACCUGGUUAUCCCACACCUGCAGUACCUAAUAUUAUACAAUAAGUUAAAGCUUGAUAUAGUUAUAUAAUUGAGAGUUGGUUAAUUAUGUGCCAGCCGCCGCGGUUAUACAUAAAACUCAAACCAAAAAACAUCGGUCUAAAAGUGACUUAGGGUAACCUAAACUUUAAGGGAGAAAAUAACUCUAGUAUUAACAAACUCUCACAGUAAACUAAUAACAAAAUAUUUCCUUAAACCCCCGCACCCAAAACACCAAAGCUCAAAAAUAAACUGGGAUUAGAUACCCCACUAUAUGAGCCGU